Molecule: ribosomal RNA, 140 nt
Filed under: uncultured eukaryote
Lineage: Eukaryota
Description: partial 18S ribosomal RNA
Rfam family: Eukaryotic small subunit ribosomal RNA
Source: RNAcentral
UGGUGGAGUGAUUUGUCUGGUUAAUUCCGUUAACGAACGAGACCUCAGCCUACUAAAUAGUGACGCGAUCCUCACGGAUCGUGGGACACUUCUUAGAGGGACAUUUCGGUUUUACCGGAAGGAAGUUUGAGGCAAUAACA